RNAcentral lists this transfer RNA (85 nucleotides) under Nannocystis punicea. Its description in RNAcentral is "Nannocystis sp. fl3 tRNA-Leu". It matches the Rfam family "tRNA". Rfam says of the family: Transfer RNA (tRNA) molecules are approximately 80 nucleotides in length. The record is from RNAcentral. Lineage: Bacteria; Pseudomonadati; Myxococcota; Nannocystales; Nannocystaceae.
GCGCAGGUGACGGAAUUGGUAGACGGCUGGUCCUGAGUUGGCCAGGUCCCGGUGGGGCGUGAGGGUUCGAGUCCCUCCCUGCGCA